This 238-nucleotide long non-coding RNA is filed under the name Gallus gallus (chicken). Lineage: Eukaryota; Metazoa; Chordata; Aves; Galliformes; Phasianidae. The record is from RNAcentral.
ACGUUACGCCUCACCUGGCACAGCCUGGUACCGUUUCCCUGCAUCCUCUCAUUUGUUGCCUGGGAGAAGAGCCAGCUCCUUGCCACCUCCUCUGAGGGAGACGUACAGCAUCCUGUGCAAUUCUCAGUGAGCUCUGCUGUGGAUUCGCCUUGCUGCCUGAAUGCCCUCAUGAGGAAUGGGCUUGGAAGUUCUUUUUCUGUGAUACCGGAUCUCACAGCCAAAUCAUGCCAAGUCUGAC